CAAGAAGAGAAGAACUGAGUGAGCUCAGACUCUCAACUUUCAGUCGACUGUCAGAGAAGAAGCAGUUUUAGAAAAUAAUGUACUGGCUGAUGGAGUUACUUUAGAUGCACUGGUGCCAUGAGAGGACUUGAUGUAGGAACCAGGAGAGGCUCGGACCGGAGGCUGGACGGAGGAGACCGGACCUGAAGAACCAUGACUGAAAUGAUCUCUGCCAUGAUGACGGCUGCUCUCGGUCCAGCAGCACCGCUCGGUCCGUGUCCUGCUCAGCACCGGUCCGGUACCGGGUGUGUGUGUGUUGGGGGGGCGGGGACCUGGCCAUGGUGCAGCUGCUGUAUGAGACAUAAAUAAACGAAACAAUAAAAAUAUGAGCUGUGUAAGUGUGUCAGCCUCAUUAUUUGCUAUAUCAGGGUUACAUGAACGGACCUAUUCAAAGCUCCGCCGGUGUCUGUUCAUCC
Salarias fasciatus (jewelled blenny) is the source of this 455-nucleotide long non-coding RNA. RefSeq lists it as uncharacterized. The transcript is spliced from 3 exons. The record is from RefSeq and is a predicted model, not a curated record. Lineage: Eukaryota; Metazoa; Chordata; Actinopteri; Blenniiformes; Blenniidae.